This 562-nucleotide ribosomal RNA is filed under the name bacterium SL1.23. RNAcentral describes it as "bacterial SSU rRNA". It matches the Rfam family "Bacterial small subunit ribosomal RNA", at positions 61 to 606 of the family's 1533-position model. The record is from RNAcentral.
GUCGAGCGAUUUCUUUGGAGCUUGCUCCAAGAAGUUAGCGGCGGACGGGUGAGUAACACGUGGGCAAUCUGCCCGUAAGACUGGGAUAACUCCGGGAAACCGGGGCUAAUACCGGAUAAUCCCGACUCUCUCCUGAGAGUCGGCUGAAAGAUGGUUUCGGCUAUCACUUACGGAUGAGCCCGCGGCGCAUUAGCUAGUUGGUGAGGUAACGGCUCACCAAGGCGACGAUGCGUAGCCGACCUGAGAGGGUGAUCGGCCACACUGGGACUGAGACACGGCCCAGACUCCUACGGGAGGCAGCAGUAGGGAAUCUUCCGCAAUGGACGAAAGUCUGACGGAGCAACGCCGCGUGAGUGAAGAAGGUUUUCGGAUCGUAAAACUCUGUUGUUAGGGAAGAACACGUACGAGAGUAACUGCUCGUACCUUGACGGUACCUAACCAGAAAGCCACGGCUAACUACGUGCCAGCAGCCGCGGUAAUACGUAGGUGGCAAGCGUUGUCCGGAAUUAUUGGGCGUAAAGCGCGCGCAGGUGGUUCCUUAAGUCUGAUGUGAAAGCCCCCG